UAAAGCAACUACGGGGCUAUUGUAACUAAAUUAAAUAUCUCCGCUAAUUAUUGGAUUUUAAAUAUAACGGCAUCUAUAAGAUUUUUGAGCAAACCAAAUUGUUACAUGAAAAUAAUAGGUGGCAGCGCUGCAGCUAAAAAUGAUGGUAAAACAGGUUGAUCUGUCAAACCACUAUUUUGAAGCAAUUUUUAACGAACGCACGUGGUGACACUAAUUUAUUAAAAAAAUGUUUUAGAGUGUUUUAUUGCUGGUGUUUCAUGUGGAGUACAUUGUUGACAACCAUGGUCCGGAAUUAUAAACGAAAAACUGAAAUAAAAUAUUCUCAGGACAAUUUGUUAAAAGCAUUGGAAGAUGUUAGAAACAAUAAAUUAAACACCUAUCAAGCGGCUGACGUCUACGGAAUUCCGAGAUCUACUUUAGUUCACCGAUUACGCGGAUCACGAGGAGUGAAAAAAUCAUGUCGCGGUAGGCCUACUGUUUUCACCAAAGACACGGAAACAAAAAUAGCCGGCUAUAUCCACGUAAUGGAAAAAACUGGUUUUCCUUUAACGGUGCAAGAAGUCAAAGUUUUGAUAUCCGAAUUGACAUCAAAAGAAAUGGUUUUAUUACGCCGUUUAAAAAUGACAUCCCUGGUGAUGAUAUUUAUAAGAUGUCAUUGUCAGAGUUACUCAAAAAUAUACCAUCAACGCGAAGACCGACAUCCGCGCGGACGGAGUCGCGGGCGGAAGCUAGUACUUAAUAUUAACUAAAAUGUUACUUAAUUUUCUAGGAACAAGAAAUUCUUAUGUUAUGUGUGAUUUUUUACUUUGAUCUUUCCUAUUAAAACACUGUGCCAUA
Colias croceus (clouded yellow) is the source of this 837-nucleotide long non-coding RNA. RefSeq lists it as uncharacterized. NCBI's taxonomy places the organism in Eukaryota, Metazoa, Arthropoda, Insecta, Lepidoptera, Pieridae. The transcript has 2 exons. The record is from RefSeq and is a predicted model, not a curated record.